RNAcentral lists this ribosomal RNA (433 nucleotides) under uncultured bacterium. RNAcentral's name for it is "partial 16S ribosomal RNA". It matches the Rfam family "Bacterial small subunit ribosomal RNA", at positions 29 to 507 of the family's 1533-position model. The record is from RNAcentral.
AACGAACGCUGGCGGCAGGCCUAACACAUGCAAGUCGAGCGAGGACUUCGGUCCUAGCGGCGGACGGGUGAGUAACGCGUGGGAACGUGCCCUUUGCUUCGGAAUAGCCCUGGGAAGCUGGGAGUAAUACCGGAUGAGCCCUUUGGGGGAAAGAUUUAUCGGCGAAGGAUCGGCCCGCGUUGGAUUAGGUAGUUGGUGGGGUAAUGGCCUACCAAGCCGACGAUCCAUAGCUGGUUUGAGAGGAUGAUCAGCCACACUGGGACUGAGACACGGCCCAGACUCCUACGGGAGGCAGCAGUGGGGAAUCUUAGACAAUGGGGGAAACCCUGAUCUAGCCAUGCCGCGUGAGCGAUGAAGGCCUUAGGGUUGUAAAGCUCUUUCAGCUGGGAAGAUAAUGACGGUACCAGCAGAAGAAGCCCCGGCUAACUCCGUG